CCUCCAAGUUUGCCAUCGAAGGAUUCUGUGAGAGUCUGGCAGUGCAGCUCCUCAAAUUCAAUAUCUUCAUCUCUUUGGUGGAGCCUGGCCCGGUGAACACAGAAUUUGAGGCGAAGCUGAUGGAGGAGGUAUCACACGCCGAAUUCCCAGGAGCUGACCCUGCCACAGUGCGAUACUUCAAGGAGAUCUAUCUUCCAGCCUCACAUGAGAUAUUCGCCACCCUGGGCCAAUCCCCCGAGUCUGUGGCCAAGGCAGUCGUGACGGUGAUCGGCGAGGAGCGCCCGCCCUUCCG
Gekko japonicus is the source of this 292-nucleotide long non-coding RNA. RefSeq lists it as uncharacterized. The record is from RefSeq and is a predicted model, not a curated record. Lineage: Eukaryota; Metazoa; Chordata; Lepidosauria; Squamata; Gekkonidae. The transcript is spliced from 3 exons.